UAAGCUGAAAACAAGAAAUGUUAAACCCGAGCAGUGCCUGGAUUCGAAACAAGAGACCACCCAUCCUAAAACUUCCAAUUUCUUCUUCAGCUAUUAGAUUUUUUUUCCUUUCCCCUUGGUCCCAGUACUUGUGGAAGAUUCUACUGACAUUGGCAGUACUGUACCAUCCUUAAUUUCAUUUGAUAAUGAUAAUUGCUGUAACGUCUUCUCUGCUUCAAGAUAAGCCAUCAGAUCCCGAAGCUGCAAGUAGACAAAAAAUAAACCAUUGAAUGAUCAUGGGCCUACUAAAUGUCCAUGUUCGUAUAUGAAUAGAUUAGUAUAGCAAGAUCUAAAAGUUCUCACCUGCGCUUCUGAGUCCUGAAUUUUAUCAUCCUUCGCUCUCAAAGCCAUUUUCUCCCUGAAUAAGUUCAAACUAAAGGCCGUGAAAUAGUGUAUACAGCAAUCUAUCGAGUUUUCUACAAACUAGCAAUAAUCUAAAAUUGUUAUGAGUUGAAUAUGAUAAGAAUUAAGAGAUGGGAUUAAGUAUGAUUAAAGAAAGAUUUAAGUCCUUUGGAAAAGAAGUCAUGUAAGGCAAUUGAAGAGACCAUUAAUCCCAGGUCUCAUAUAUCGCGUUUCUUGGUACUAAAUGAAACACAAACUAAACCACAUAGGUCAAAAAUAUUGUUUAAAACUGAUUUUACCUCUCUUCAAUUUCCGAUAUCUUUGCUUUCCACAUCUCCUGAUUUUUCAAAAGAUUCUCAUUGAGCUGCAUGCAAAAACCAUAAAUUUGAGUAUCAAAAGAAUGAAGGAUUAACUUAAAAUCUAUAUUUAUUUAACCCACUCCACAGAACCAGCAAUUAUGAAACUUUUAUCAUUUAAGCCACUCUUCCAAACCAGCAAGGGAACUUACAUCAUCAAGAAAUUUCUUUUCUGUCACACAUCUAUCCAGUUUGGCUUGCAUCUUCUGCAGCUUUUGAGCAAUAGCCUUCUUAACAGCUUCAGAAAUUAUUUUUUCAGUUUCUUCUUUGGCUUCUUGCAGCAGAGUCUCAUAAUACUACAAAAACCAGUUUAUCAAGCAGUAGAUAUGAUAAAUUCAACUUUGAGCCCAAGAACAAGAAUAGGCUCAGAAUGUAAACUCGUGAAAUUGAUGAAAAUGGAAGAGUGCACUUACUAUUUUUUGGUUUUCAAGUUGGGCGGCAAGGAGUUCAUUGUACUCGUUGACAAUCUAUGAAUGAAUUUGAAAUGAGAAUUUUGCAAGAUGGAGGAAUGUAUUAUCAAUUAAUUAUGAGCAUAUUCUAAAGAAAAGUAACUGAAAUAUUACCGCUUCAACUUUACUGCUUAAAAGAGCAUCACUGGUUCCAGAAUCUACACAAUCACAACUUCCACAAUUAUCUUUACCAUGCAAACAAUGGGAAUUCAACUCAACUAGCUUUCCAUCAGUUUUGGAUUGAAUUAGGCGGUGGACAUAAUUGUCACCAGCAUAAUCCCAAACACGCUGGGUUUCCAACUCAAGAGAAUAGCAGUGUUCUGUUUCCUUCCAAUGUAUUAUAGCAUGUCCUCCUUUAUACCUACAUCAAUCUCUUCAGUAUGGAUAUGAAAAAAAGGAAACCCACCCCUGAAAUAUGGGGGAGAAUGCCUACUCAAAUUGUCAGAAAUAAAAUUGAAACUAUACCUCCCACAGCCCACAAAACCACAUAUAACACACAUCCAGAGGUUCUCAGAAGUUUGGCAUACAAAACAUAUUGAUUUUUCUGGCUGUUGCUGGCAGUAUCGGCACACCUAAACAAAAAGCAGACAAGUUAACCAUUGUCAAAAAAAAAAAGGAAUAUGUUAGUAUCAUUGCUGUAUUUUCAUUGUAAAUUUUUUGAGUGAGGUUCGCUUGCAGUUAAUAUUUGCUUUCAUCUUUUGCGAACUUCUUUCUGCUGUGGAUGUAGUUCAUGUGGUAUUUAUUCUACAGGUCUGCCCCAAUAUGUCUUAGAAAAAUUUAUAAACAUAAUUCUUCUUCCUUUUUUUUUUAAUUUAUAAACAAGAUAUUCUAUAGCCAUAAUGAAUAUAAAAAUAGGGCAAAGAUUUUUUCGACCUUAAGUUGGCAAAGAGAGAGAAUAUAUCAUUAAACACACAACUUGAAUUAUUAACUAAAGUAUGGACAAAUUUCUCUCAAGCAAGGGUAGGCAUAAUAAGAAAGACCUCAUAUUAUAGUCUUCAUAAAUAUCCACUAUUAAACUAGUGCCUAAACUGCAGAAACUAUCACCGCUCCACAUGAAAAAAAAAAUUUUAAAAAAAACAUAAAUUUGGAAUCACUUACUGGACAAGACGAAUCUGUCCAUUUUGAGAUACAAGAGCAAUGGAAAGAAUGAUUGCAAAUAGUUGUGAGAAUUCCACUGGUAUCUUGGUCCAAUCUCUCUGUGUAUCAAACAAAUAUUAGACCACUAUGACACAUUAUAUAGUUUACCUUCUCUCAGAGGCAAACUUUUUUUUUCAAUCAUAAUACAUAUUACAUCCCUCUAUUUGCCGGUCUCAAGUUGUAACAGAAAAUAUAGAAGAUUAUCAACGAAUAAAGACCAUUGACACAUACAUUUGAUCGGAAGACUAUCAUCAACAAAGAACAAUUCAGUGUGUAUGUAAUCAAUUAAGCAAAUAAUUAUUGCACUAAGUAACAAACAAGUCAGAAAGCAGGAUGCCAAGAUAGCUCACAGAGCAUUCCCCUUAGUGAAGAAAAUCUUCUGGUCAUGCUGAAAUUCAACAUUUUUCUCAAAGACGUCAAUGAAGAUGAGAUACAGCAUUUUAUGAUUGUAGUUUUAAUUUGCCCUUCCCAAUCAAGUUUCAACAGUGUUAUAAUUUUGGCUCCCAUACAAUAACGUUUCAAACCGCUCAGUUUCGGAAAUGAUACUUCAAGACAAGAGAAAAACAAUGUUCUAUAAUUGAAUCAAAAGAGCAUACCAAGGCAAACUGGACAUGAAGGCUGCUCAGUUGAGCUUGCAGGAGCAGGCUGCACGUGCUCAAGGGAACCAGUAUAACCAGUAAACUGUACAUAAACCGUGAAAAGCACAUGGCAAACUUCUUCCUGUAUAAAAAAUUAAAACCAAAAACAAUAGAAAGAAAUAGAAAGAUUACUACAUUGAGUAGGAGAAUCUAUAAAAUCUACUCAUAUCACCAUUUUACACAAUUUCUUAGUUUCCAAUGAUUUCUUGAAUCACAAUUCAAUACUAAUACUACAAUUAAUUGAGAUCAAAGCAUACCUCCAAAGAAUUAAAUUGUCUACCAUUAAAAUGCUGAUAGAAUUUGUCUGCAGAAUCCUGACUGUCAAAUCUUAUCAAAACACUAUAUUGAUCGUCCAUCCCAUCGGUCCUAAAUCACCACAUUAUCCAUCAAUUAGAUAAGACAGUCACUUCAUUCCUUGUACAGAACUUAUGGUGUUGCUUCAGACAAAGGCAGAUUCUCAUGAAAUGUACGAUAUCUAAAAUAUCAUGUACAGUUAGAUCAAGCUAAACUUUCAUGUUUGUAUUGUGUGCCACUUAUUUCAUGAAGUACAAUAUACAUAUGUAUCUAUUAGCAAUUAGUCCUUUACUUUUGGAGAUCUAGAGAAUCAGUAAUCAAAUCGCAAUCUGCAGAAUCUAAAAUGUGUUCUUUCUAUGAAUUAUUAAUUUUACAUUUACUAAUCGGAUUCUCAUUCUGAUCUCUUUAACAAUAAUGGAAGCCAGUGUUUGCUCGUAUCUUAUUCCAACCUGCACUUUAAUGAUCAUUUCUUCCACACCAAUAAUUCAUUGGUUCACUACACAAACAUUUUAAUUUUGAUUUAUGAAGCAUAUGGAGAUAAGAAUAUUUCGACGUAUAUAUGAAAUAAUGUUGAAUCAAUUUCAUUUUAAAUAGAGAAGUCCAUCUUGAUAAAAUCAUUUAUAAUAUAUGAAUGAGGAGAUGAAAAAUGAGAGUAUGCUGAUCAUCAAAGAGGAAAAAUAUGUAUCAUGUAAUUUGCAAUCAAACUAUCUUUGUCCCCUAAAGCUGGCAUUCCCUAACACUUUGUGGAAGGUAAACAACUAUCAUACUUAUAAGAACUAUAUUCAAGCAUCGAUAUUUUUUUCCUAGCUUAUAACGAUAUUCCAUUAAUUAUUAAUUUGUAAUGAAAAUUUUGUACCGAACAAUUCACAUCUCCAGUAUAUGUUGAAUAAACGAAGCACAAAACUGACAAAAAUCUGCAUAUGUCAUGUGAUUCGGCACCCCAAGCACACACACGAGGGGUUUCCUUCCAACCUACAAAACAUCAAAACAAUUAUCAGAUUCUCCAUUUUUUAAAACUUAUUAAAUAUCGAAGUUGCUUUUGAGGAUUUGUUUUUUUUUUUUUUCACUUUUUACUUGAAACCAGAAUUGCAACUAUCUCCUCAACUGCUUUACUGAAUCAAAAUGAGGAAAAAGCACCAAGUAUAAUUAAUUCAAAAUUCAAAAUAAAAAUUAGAGAAUUUCUAUUUUGGACAAAAGAAGUGUUGAAAGAGAAUGCGAGUACGGGGAGAUUCUGAUUGGGAGAGGGCGAGGAAACAACGCCGUCAUUACUAUUGUCGCUGCUGCUGCUGCUGGAGAAGAGAUGCAUGACGCCACGUGUCUCUUCGAUUCGAGGGUUUCCGGAAGAGAAAGCGAAGGUCUGAGUCGCUGCGUUGUCAAAAGCUGAUGCGUCGUCAGAGAUCAUCUCCGGCAGCGGCUGCCGGAAUGGUUCGUCGUCUCCCGCGACAACUGCCGUGCUCGAGCUGGAUGACAUGGCUCUUUGAAUUUGUUUGAUUUGAACAAAAUUUGAUGGAGGUAAAGGAAAGAAAUGGCGGUGGGGUUUAUAUAAUGGUGAAAGAAUUAGAAAAAAUAAUUUUUGAAAGGAAUAUAGUAUUAAUAAUGUACAGUGUGGGUAGGGAAGGAUUUUGUGAAUUUAAUUCAAUAUAAUGUUUUACAAAAUAACAAUGGAACACCGUAACACAAAUUCUAUGUAUAGAAAAAUAAUUAAAAAGAGGCUAGAUUAUUUAAAAUCUAGAUAUUACUCUAAAUACUCUAUUAUUCUGCAUACUCAUCUUUAAGUUUUAAAUAAUUAACUUUUAUUAUGUACACUCUUUAAAAUAAUAAAAUUCUUUAAAAUAAUAAAAUUAUCCUCAUUUAAAUAUUUAAUUUAACUAUUUUUAUAGUGCCUGUUUGGUAUGACUUAUCUAAUAACUUUAUGUACUUAUUUAAUCUCAUAAGCUCUUAUCAUAAUUUUUAUUAUUAUUUAGUUUUGUUUUAGUAGAGCUUUUGUAUCUUAAAUAAGUUAUUUUGUCUCUACUAAUAAAAACUCAAAUUUUGAGCUUUUGGGAGUGGGGGUUGAAUUUUUUUUUUUAAAUGUUAAAAUAUUUAAAAUAUCAUCUACUUAUUUAACAAUCUUAUUUUAUUCUUUUCAUAACAUAAUUUAAAAAAAAAAACUUGCCUAUUAAAAUAAUUUCAUAUAAUUUUAAUAAAAACUCUUAUUGAUAAUUAAACAACUAAAAUUUCUUAGGUAAAAGCUCUACUACUAAAAUUUCUACUUAAAUAAGUUCUACUUGAAAAAUUGUACCAAACAGAGCCUUAGUCUACACACCGAUAAAAAUAUUUAAUACAUUCUUAAAUCUACUUUGAGAGGAUAUAAAAUAAAAAUAUUUUUAUACUUAUCCAUAAUAUCAUAUUUUUAUUAGAUCCAUUUUCGCAAUGAUUGAUCACAUAACAAAUGAAUCUAUUAAAAUUGAUCAUACAUAUUCGACAUUAAUCACUUAGGAAUGAAAAUGGGCCGAGUACUGUGCUGGUACUUGUUUGGUGGAGAACAUCCCCACCACUAAUCCUUACUUGUUGUGGGCUUGAACAGGUACGGGAUAAAAUUCCCGGUUAAAAAGUAUGGAUGCUCAUUCCCUUCGGCUAUCCCCUAUGUCCCUUUAUAUAUUUUAACAUCCUGCAUAUAUUUAAAAAAUAGCGAAAAAAGAUAUCUUAACUAUUUAGUUAUAGAUAAACGUGCAAUACAAUAUUCAAAAAUAUUUUCUUAAAAAAUUUAUUUUCAAUUUUAAGCAAAUGUUAAUUAUAAGGUUGAAGUUAUUUGAAUCCAUCUAAAUACUCUCAGCACCCACUUUUUCGAAAUCAAUUUUAUUACCAUAAUACCCAUUUAGUAAUUUACCAAAAAGGACAUGAUAAUAUCAUUAAAUAAAAUAUUUUAGUUACUUUUUACACAAAUCUCUGCCUAGAGCCGACAUGUUUGUCCGUCCCAAACACUAAUUUUUGCAACAUUAAAUGUAAUUUAUCAUCACGGAGAAGCAAAACCAACUUAUCGAGACGAAUUUAAUCAACGAAAUUAAAGAAAAUGCUUGCUAAAAAGUUCACACCUUUGGGGAAAAAAAUGUUUAUUGUGCUUCAAGGAUUUUUUUUCCCCAUUCUUCGCCAACCUCUCAAUGAGUAAUGAUUGCAAUUUGUUGCAGUUUCUAUUAUUUUUAUAUUUUUGUUCAUGAUGUUAUAACUAAAUAAACAACAACAAGAGACAUGAGGUAAAACUCUAUUUGCAAUUCUUAUAUUUUUCGAGUUCUAUGAAUUGGUUUGAUCAUUGGAGAAAAUAAAUGUUGUAUAUGCUUUUACAACGCUCAAUUAACUGCCAAAUUGUUUUCUCACUACUGCAUCUGCAGUCGAGGUCUUGUGAUUUUUUUUUUGAAUUACUUGAGACUAAUGCUCAGAUUACAACUCAUAUUAUAUGAGAUUUACAACUGAUAUUUACAAUCAGACAAUUACUGAGACUAGUUUACAUUAAUUCUUAUAUAUAGCACUGCCUAGAUUUUACCCUCUCAAAUAUUCGAGGGAUGUCUACUCCACUCACAUUUCGAGCACUGUCCAGAUUUUAUCCUCUCAAAUAUUCGAGGGAUGUCUACUCCACUCACAUUUCGAAAGGGAGAAUAUUGCCUUAACGGAUUCCAAACGGAAGUGGAAAAGUAAAACAAAAUGUAACUUUAGGUGAAUUCCAGCUAAAAAAAGAAGAAAUUAUGUAUUUUUAAAAAAAUUGUAAAAAAAAGGUGGACAGUGGAUAUUUCCUCCCCCAAACAAAAUAUGUGAACUGAACUUAGGAUGACACACUAUCGAAAAUCCCCAAAUUUCUGUACAUACACGCAAUCCUAAAAUCCACUUUCAAAAAACAUGAACAUCUAAAUAAUCGACUCCUGCGAGGUCAUCUAUGCAAGUAUUUACAAGAACUUCAUUUCCGGCCAAGCAACUUGUUCUUGACACAUCUAAGGUGCAUCUGAUGAAUUUUGAUGCAGAACUUUCCCCUUUGAGCUGAAGCUGAAAAGUUAAUUUGAAAAGGAAUAUUCAAAUGCUUAAAAGAGUUGAGAUAGAGGGUGCUGCGCCAUAACCUCUCCAAAUAGCAAAUCAGAGAAAAGAUUUGAAGAUAAGCUGAAACCAAGAAAUGUUAAACCCGAGCAGUGCCGGGAUUCGAAACAUGAGACCACCCAUCCUAAAAUUUCCAAUUUCUUCUUCAGCUAUUAGAUUUUUUUUCCUUUCCCCUUGGUCCCAGUACUUGUGGAAGAUUCUACUGACAUUGGCAGUACUGUACCAUCCUUAAUUUCAUUUGAUAUUGAUAAUUGCUGUAACGUCUUCUCUGCUUCAAGAUAAGCCAUCAGAUCCCGAAGCUGCAAGUAGACAAAAAAUAAACCAUUGAAUGAUCA
This 7652-nucleotide long non-coding RNA is filed under the name Citrus maxima (pomelo). Its description in RNAcentral is "long non-coding RNA (CMAX_LNC000277)". Lineage: Eukaryota; Viridiplantae; Streptophyta; Magnoliopsida; Sapindales; Rutaceae. The record is from RNAcentral.